UUAUUAAUUAUGUCAAUGGUCAAAUUUGAUUAAACACCAAUAUAUUUAGAUAGAUGAAGUACAACUCAUCUUUCCAAAAGGAAAUUAUUAGGAAACUUGGAAGGGGGCGAGGCAAACUUUUUAAAUACACCUUAUAUAAAAGAAUGGAUGAAGUAUAUGAUUACGUAAUUUUGAUGUUACAAAAUAGAGUCUUAAGUCUCCCGCUGUGCCUAAGGUCCCUUUACCAAUCACCAAUGUGCCAUAGAUUAUUCUUGUCACUGACCAGAUGUUUUGGUAAGUUUCCUAAAAUAUCACAGUGGUCAGCGUCCGUACAGCUCGUACCUGAAUGGCCAAGCACGCGAAUUGUCAAACGUGUUCGGUAUAAACACGAGAGAACACACCUGUUCUUUACCUGACUGACCAAACACCUUGUCUGAUCUAAAUAGCUGCAUUCAAGCGUACUUUACGUGUUUGCUACUCUGUCUAUGCGUUAACGGCAAAAACACGAGGCCUGUCCUGCCUGGAAAUGCGAAAUUCCUAUAUCUGGCAGCCCUGGUUA
This 538-nucleotide long non-coding RNA is filed under the name Hordeum vulgare. RNAcentral describes it as "long non-coding RNA (HVUL_LNC019931)". Lineage: Eukaryota; Viridiplantae; Streptophyta; Magnoliopsida; Poales; Poaceae. The record is from RNAcentral.